CAACAUUCAUUUUAGGUGCAUCUGCCGAAAAGAAGACAAUCGGAAAAUUAAACGCCACUAUAGAAGCAUUGGAGGAGAAAAAUCGGAAAGAAAUAUCAGAAAAAUCAGCGGAAAUCGAAAGGUUGAAUGCUAUUAUCACAACUCAUGAGAAA
Molecule: long non-coding RNA, 152 nt
Organism: Leptinotarsa decemlineata (Colorado potato beetle)
Lineage: Eukaryota; Metazoa; Arthropoda; Insecta; Coleoptera; Chrysomelidae
Source: RefSeq, a predicted model, not a curated record